AUGGGGUGUCAGUGACCCACAGCGCUGUCCUGCCCCAUAGAUCGCCCCACAAGUGACUCUCUAUGGCCGCCCUGUGACCCCAUGGAUCUCCGCCGAGCGUCAUGGCCGCCCCUCCUGCACCUGGGUAUGCAAAUUACCCGCGGACCUGGCCACGCCCCCUGAUGGGGAUGAGCCAAUCAGAGUGAAGUGCAGCCACGGCUCCGACCAAUGGGAGGUGACGCUGAGCCCUAAAGGCAAUAACGAGGCCUGGUGGGCGGAGCCUAUUGUGGCCCAGGAGCUGUUCUGGUAAGCCAACAACAAGCCACGCCCCCUUUAGUGCAAGCCACGCCCCC
Coturnix japonica (Japanese quail) is the source of this 332-nucleotide non-coding RNA. NCBI's taxonomy places the organism in Eukaryota, Metazoa, Chordata, Aves, Galliformes, Phasianidae. The record is from RefSeq and is a predicted model, not a curated record.